RNAcentral lists this ribosomal RNA (433 nucleotides) under uncultured bacterium. RNAcentral describes it as "partial 16S ribosomal RNA". It matches the Rfam family "Bacterial small subunit ribosomal RNA", at positions 29 to 507 of the family's 1533-position model. The record is from RNAcentral.
AACGAACGCUGGCGGCAUGCCUAACACAUGCAAGUCGAACGAGACCUUCGGGUCUAGUGGCGCACGGGUGCGUAACGCGUGGGAACCUGCCCUUAGGUUCGGAAUAACUCCCCGAAAGGGGUGCUAAUACCGGAUAAUGUCUUCGGACCAAAGAUUUAUCGCCUUUGGAUGGGCCCGCGUUGGAUUAGCUAGCUGGUAGGGUAAAAGCCUACCAAGGCGACGAUCCAUAGCUGGUCGGAGAGGAGGAUCGGCCACACUGGGACUGAGACACGGCCCAGACUCGUACGGGAGGCAGCAGUGGGGAGUAUUGGAGGAGGGGCGAAAGCCUGAUCCAGCAAGGCCGCGUGAGUGAUGAAGGCCUUAGGGUUGUAAAGCUCUUUUACCCGGGAUGAUAAUGACGGUACCGGGAGAAUAAGCUCGGGCUAACUCCGUG